Molecule: non-coding RNA, 73 nt
Organism: Dictyocaulus viviparus (bovine lungworm)
Lineage: Eukaryota; Metazoa; Nematoda; Chromadorea; Rhabditida; Metastrongylidae
Source: Rfam
AUCUUAGUAGUGCAAUCGGUAGCACAUCGACUGGGACAUUUGUGCGAUUCGGGUUCAAAUCCCGCCUGAGGUU